GAUUAAGCUAUAAAGAGUGCAUGGCGAAUGCCUUGGCAUCAGGAGUCGAAGAAGGUCGUGAUAAGCUGCGAUAAGCUCGGGGUAGACGCACAUAGUCUGUGAACCCGAGAUC
RNAcentral lists this ribosomal RNA (112 nucleotides) under Proteiniclasticum aestuarii. Its description in RNAcentral is "Bacterial large subunit ribosomal RNA". It matches the Rfam family "Bacterial large subunit ribosomal RNA", at positions 1 to 112 of the family's 2925-position model. Lineage: Bacteria; Bacillati; Bacillota; Clostridia; Eubacteriales; Clostridiaceae. The record is from Rfam by way of RNAcentral.